AUAGARGGUGAGAAUCCCGUCUUUGACACGGACUGCCARGGCUUUGUGAUGCGCUCUCAAAGAGUCGAGUUGUUUGGGAAUGCAGCUCAAAAUGGGUGGUAAAUUCCAUCUAAAGCUAAAUAUUGGCGAGAGACCGAUAGCGAACAAGUACCGUGAGGGAAAGAUGAAAAGAACUUUGGAAAGAGAGUUAAACAGUACGUGAAAUUGCUGAAAGGGAAACGCUUGAAGUCAGUCGCGUUGGCCGGAAAUCAACCUUGCUUUUGCUGGGCGUACUUUCCGGUUGAUGGGUCAGCAUCAAUUUUGACCGUUGGAUAAAGUUCAGGGGAAUGUGGCAUCUUCGGAUGUGUUAUAGCCCUUGUUCGCAUACAACGGUUGGGAUUGAGGAACUCAGCACGCCGCAAGGCCGGGUAUUUAUACCACGUUCGUGCUUAGGAUGCUGGCAUAAUGGCUUUAAUCGACCCGUCUUGAAACACGGACCAAGGAGUCUAACAUGCCUGCGAGUGUUUGGGUGGAAAACCCGAGCGCGUAAUGAAAGUGAAAGUUGAGAUCCCUGUCGCGGGGAGCAUCGACGCCCGGACCAGACCUUUUGUGACGGAUCCGCGGUAGAGCAUGUAUGUUGGGACCC
RNAcentral lists this ribosomal RNA (625 nucleotides) under Galerina badipes. Its description in RNAcentral is "eukaryotic LSU rRNA". It matches the Rfam family "Eukaryotic large subunit ribosomal RNA", at positions 205 to 817 of the family's 3401-position model. The record is from RNAcentral. Lineage: Eukaryota; Fungi; Basidiomycota; Agaricomycetes; Agaricales; Galerinaceae.